GACGAACGCUGGCGGCGUGCUUAACACAUGCAAGUCGAGCGGUAAGGCCCUUUCGGGGGUACACGAGCGGCGAACGGGUGAGUAACACGUGGGUGACCUGCCCUCAGCUCUGGGAUAAGCCUGGGAAACCGGGUCUAAUACCGGAUAUGACUCCAUGACGCAUGUUGUGGGGUGGAAAGCCUUGUGCGGCUGAGGAUGGGCCCGCGGCCUAUCAGCUUGUUGGUGGGGUGAUGGCCUACCAAGGCGACGACGGGUAGCCGCCUGAGAGGGCGACCGGCCACACUGGGACUGAGACACGGCCCAGACUCCUACGGGAGGCAGCAGGUGGGGAAUCUUGCGCAAUGGGCGAAAGCCUGACGCAGCGACGCCGCGUGAGGGAUGACGGCCUGGUU
RNAcentral lists this ribosomal RNA (392 nucleotides) under uncultured bacterium. Its description in RNAcentral is "bacterial SSU rRNA". It matches the Rfam family "Bacterial small subunit ribosomal RNA", at positions 28 to 424 of the family's 1533-position model. The record is from RNAcentral.